This 312-nucleotide long non-coding RNA is filed under the name Vulpes vulpes (red fox). RNAcentral describes it as "lncRNA (ENSVVUG00000021888.1)". The record is from RNAcentral. Lineage: Eukaryota; Metazoa; Chordata; Mammalia; Carnivora; Canidae.
AAAAUGCCCUGGGCCAAAACUCUCUGUGGGAAACAAGCUUCUAGAAUCACUAGGUAUUAUGGAUUUACAUCUCUGUCUUAUAAUAGUUUUAGAUGGACUUUUGUCAGGAAAAGGAGGUUCUGACCAUUAUGGAAUAUUCUUCUACAACUGAGAAAGUGAAGCUGCUGAAUGCAGUCUUUCCCUUAUUGGCACAACAUCAAUCUAAAGUCGAUUGGAGAAACCUGAGCAUGUUUAUAUCCUGAAGGAAAUGAGCCAGCAGAGAGGACUGUUUAAAGAUUCCCACAAUAAACAGGGAAACCACACAGAUCUACA